Molecule: long non-coding RNA, 853 nt
Filed under: Manihot esculenta (cassava)
Lineage: Eukaryota; Viridiplantae; Streptophyta; Magnoliopsida; Malpighiales; Euphorbiaceae
Description: long non-coding RNA (MESC_LNC012159)
Source: RNAcentral
GGGUGUCUAAUGUAUGUCAAUUGUGGCAGGUAGUGAAUGAUUUCUUCUUGGAUGAGAAGCAUCUCAUAGUUGUUGAUGACUUGUGUUUAAAGGAAGCUGGCAAUCCAAUAGAAUUCUUGAGAAACAUGGGAAGAGUCUUCAAUGACAUAUCAAAUGGAACAAGACUACUUGUCACAGUUUCCAAUUUGAGGAAAGCUCCACCAGUUACUGAAACUAGUUUAACUUACAGCCUGCAUCUUCGAAGCCACGACGAGAGCUGGGCGCUGUUCACGCACACUUUGAAGGUAAACAUCUGCCGAGAGAUGGAGAAUCUUAAGGGACACAUCAUAAGAAAAUGUGGGGGGCUGCCAUGGGUAAUUGUGGAACUAAGUGAACUACUAUCACAAAAAGAUGCAACUCUAAAGGAGUGGUCAAAAGUACUUGACCACUUAAAUCAAGAUCAAGAGCCCUGGUUAGAAAUCCUAGAUGAGAUUAACAAGCAUUUACCUUUGCAUUUGAGAAGAUGUCUCUUUUAUUUUGGAUUAUUUCCAGCAGGCUUUAAGAUCCCUGCAAGAAGAUUGAUUGCCUUGUGGGUUGCUGAGGGUUUGGGGUGCCAACAGAGUAACGAACAAUCCCCUGAAUAUGUUGCAGAGGCAUGCUUGAUAGAGUUAAUGAACUAUAAUAUGGUUCAGGUGACAGAAAAGAAACUUAAUGGGAAAGUUAAGUGACUCGCGGUUGUCGAAGCCGGUCAAAAAUAACCUCUUUGGUUACCUACAAUUUACAACUGCAGAUAGUGGUGAAGGAUCGAAUCCACAGAGAAUUGAUUACCUAUUUAUUUUUCUCAACAAGACCAAUAAAAUAAAUUGAAACAAUG